AGGGUUGAUAGUUAAACCUUAGGUCAUCUUGAGCAUUAGGAUCAAAGGGAUGAAUUAUGCGGUAACCAUAUGUCAAGAUUCUUGAAUAUUGCUUUACAAUUAUUCAACCUAUUUGAAAGUAUGAGACUUGAUUGAACAUGUAGAUUAAUAUAAUUAAGAAUUAAGUUGUAGGUCAUAUGAAAUUAAACAUUGAUUAUGUUCAGCUAACACUGCGCAUGAGGUGCGGAUUUGAUUUCAGAGAUGAAUUAAAUCAAAUCAAUGAUCUAAGCAAUUAUGAGAGAUUCGAUUAGAAUUCUAAUUACAUUAGAUCAGAUUUAAUUUAAUUAGACUUAAUUUUAUUAAGACUUGAUUGGAUUAAUUUAUCAAGUUGGACUGGGACAAGAAUUCUAAUUGGAUUAGGAUCAACAAUCUUUUCAAAAUUGGUUCAAAUCGAGUUCGAAUUGAAUUCGAAUUGAUCCAAAUCUGAUUUGGUCCACUUAGCCAUGUUUUUCAGCUAUUCUCUUACCAUGUGGGCCGAUCAAGGUAGUUGGGAAGGGGUUGGAAACAACCCCCUUCCCUUGGGCAUGUGGCACAAUGAAGGGAGGCAUAAGUUGGCGCCUCUCCUACUUGGUUUAGGAAUCUUUGUAUUUUAUGGAGUUUAGAUUUGAUUCAAACAUAGAGAAUCCUGUUCCUAUCAUCUUAAGGAGUUUGAUUUGAUCUAGAACAUCUUGUCUAUUUAAAGAGUGGUGUGGAGAAGAGAAUUAAUCAAUUAACCUUGGCCUAGACGUGGAGAUCC
RNAcentral lists this long non-coding RNA (775 nucleotides) under Elaeis guineensis (African oil palm). Its description in RNAcentral is "long non-coding RNA (EGUI_LNC069115)". The record is from RNAcentral. Lineage: Eukaryota; Viridiplantae; Streptophyta; Magnoliopsida; Arecales; Arecaceae.